ACAGAGCGAUAAGAAAGAUAGCGGACGCAGGAUAUGAGAGGUGCUAAAGUCUGAGAAAAGUGGCAACUUCCAGCCAAGUCUGCAAAAGAAGCACACACGGAUCAGUUCUGAGCUCACGGGUUUUGUCUUUAGCGCCUACCAUCAAACAAUGUCUGGUCCUCACCACGACUGGUCACCUCAUGAUGGGCCCCCUCAUCAUGGGCCUCCUCAUCAUGGGCCACCACAUGAUGGGCCACCACAUGAUGGACCACCUCAUGAUGGACCACCUCGUGAUGGACCACCUCAUGAUUGGGAACCAGAUCGCGGACCACCACACCAUGGACCACCUCAUGAUGGCCCUCCUCACUUUGGACCCCCACCUCACCAUGGACCAUAUCAUGAACCUCCUCCAGAACCUGACUCGUGCUGCUGCACAAUAAUUUGAUGCAAUUUCUACCACAACUGUUCAACAAAGACUUAUGGAAUAUAAAAAGAAGUAAACAUAUUCCCUUGAUUAGUGAUACUACAAUUUCUAAAAACGAUAAUAUGACUGAAUCACUUAAUUUAUGGUUUUGAAAUGCUGUCUUUGGACAUUUAUCAUAUACAUUUGUCAAGAAGCACAAAUAUUUUUUAUUUUAUUUAUAAUUUUGUGUAUGCUAAUUAAAACUCAUAUAUGCUAAUUACAACCCAUUCCUAAAUCAAAAUUAUUAUGGCUCUAUCAAGAUCUACUGGUACUUGAAACUGUAUUUAUUGAAUUUUUGUAAAGGAAAUAUCAUAAAACUGUACUAGUAA
Long non-coding RNA from Schistocerca gregaria, 771 nucleotides. RefSeq lists it as uncharacterized. The transcript has 2 exons. The record is from RefSeq and is a predicted model, not a curated record. NCBI's taxonomy places the organism in Eukaryota, Metazoa, Arthropoda, Insecta, Orthoptera, Acrididae.